RNAcentral lists this small RNA (388 nucleotides) under Pan troglodytes (chimpanzee). RNAcentral describes it as "processed transcript". Lineage: Eukaryota; Metazoa; Chordata; Mammalia; Primates; Hominidae. The record is from RNAcentral.
UCUGGACAGACUGCACUGGGACCUCUAUAUUGGGACGCCGCUGGACUUCUUGACUAUAAAUGGAAACAUUGUCAUCUAGGUACUUUCCGCUCAUAACGAUGAUGUCACAAAGCAGACUUUUUUUUUUUUUUUUUUUUUUUUUUUGUCCCGGAGUGGAAGCUCAGCUUGGCCACAGGAUGGGCAUUAAGCCUCAAGCCCCUUACGGAGCCAUGGAUAGGAAUGAAAAGGGUUGGGCAACAUUUGAUGUUCCCUGAUGGAAAUUUGAAUUGUUUGCACUUUUGGUCAUUGAUAUAGGAAAAGUAUGGGGUUUUCUGUUCUAACAUUAAAAACCAUGGUCUCCAGUUCCAUGCCCUGGUGGUCCUGAGCUGGCCCCAUGUGUUGGAGCUGC